RNAcentral lists this long non-coding RNA (1435 nucleotides) under Marmota monax (woodchuck). The record is from RNAcentral. Lineage: Eukaryota; Metazoa; Chordata; Mammalia; Rodentia; Sciuridae.
GUUGGAUUUUAUCAAAUACUUUUUCUGCUUCUAUUGAGAGGAAUCAUGUGAUUUUGAUCCUUGAUUCUAUUUAUAUGUUUAUGAAUUUGUAUGCAUUGAACCAUCCUUCCAUUCCUGAAAUGAAAUCACCUUGAUCAUGAUAAAUGACCUUUUUUAAUGAGUUGUUAAAUUUGACUUGCUAAUAUUUUACUGAAGAUUUUUCAUCCAUAUUCAUCAAGGAUAUUGGUCUAUAGUUUUGUUUCCUUGAAAUGUCCUUAUCCAAUUUUGCUAUCAGGGUGAUUGGCUUUAUAGAAUGAAAUUGGAAGUGUUCCCUCCCUUUCUGUUUUAAGGGAUAAUUGGAAAAGUAUUGGAAUUAGUUUUUUAAAGAUCUGGUAGAAUUCAACUAUUUGUCUGUGUGGUCCUGGGCUUUUCUUUGUUGAGGGGAUUUUUCUUACAGCUUCAAUAUGUUGGUGGUAAUUGGUCUGUUUAGGUUUUCUCUAUUAUGAUUCUGUUUUGGUAAGUCAGAUGUGUCUAGAAAUUUGUGUUUUUUUUUUCUAGAUUUUCCAAUAUUAGAAUAUAGAUUUUCAAAAUAGUAACUAAUGAUCUAUAUUUCAGUUGUGCCUCUUGUAAUAUAUCAAUUUUCACCUCCAAUUUUGUUAAUUUGGGUCUUUCUUUUUGUUAGUUUGGCUAAAGGUUUUUCAAAAAACCAAUUUUUUCAUUAGCCACUUGUAUUUUUUGUUUCAUUUUCAUUUAUUUAUACUCUAUUAUUUAUUUCUACCUAUUUUGGGAUUGGUUCUUUUUUGUGAGAAUUUGAGGCCCAUUGUUAGUUUAUUUGAGAUCACAAUUUAUUUUAUGUGAGCACGCAUAGUUCUAAACUUCCCUUUUGUAAAUGCAUUUGCUAUAUCCCCCAGAUUCUGUUAUAAUGUGUUUCCAUUUUCAUUUUUAAUAAUAAGAAUUUUUAAAUUCCUUCUCUGAUUUCUUCAAUGAUACAUUCAUUGUAUUGGGGAAUAUUAGUCCCUUUGUAUUGAGAAAUGUUUAUUUUAUGAAAUUGGGUAGCAAUAUGUUCUUUGUCUCUUUAGAUGGAUUUUGGCUUGAAGUCUGCUUUGUCUUAUAUGAGAGUAGCUACUCCUGUUUGUAUUGCAGAUUCCAUUUGUAUGGAAUAUCAUUUUUCAUCCUUUUACUUUCAGUCUUUGAAUGUCUUUGUCUCUGAGGUGUGUUUCUUGAAGUGAACAUACAGUUGGGUCUUGUUUUUAAUCUAAUCUGCUAGUCUGUCUUUUAAUUGGAGAAUUAGGACCAUUUAUAUUUAGUGUUAUCAUAGAGAGGUAUGAGUUAUCUCCUAUCAUUUUCUUUUAUUUCUAAUGAUUAAAUCAUUCCAUGUGCUUAUCUAAUGAGAUGUAUUCUCUCCCAUACUUUCUUGCUUAUUUUUUAUUUUCCUCUUUGCUCUGCAGGAUUCCUU